AUAUAACUAGUUUUACUCAGGGUUGUACUGCAACAGUGCUUCUGGUAUGGACUGAUGGUGCUGAAAAUUUCUUUGCACAAUGUGCAAAUGUGGGGGACUCAGCAUGUGUUAUGAACAGUGCCAAUGGGAAACCGAUUAAGAUGACUGAGGACCAUAGAGUAGUUAGUCAUACUGAAAGACUGAGAAUGGAAGAAAGAGGAGAGCCACUGAGAGAUGGGGAAACACGAUUAUGCGGCUUGAAUCUUGCUCGGAUGCUUGGAGACAAGUUUCUUAAAGAGCAAGAUGCUCGGUU
Molecule: long non-coding RNA, 292 nt
Organism: Humulus lupulus (European hop)
Lineage: Eukaryota; Viridiplantae; Streptophyta; Magnoliopsida; Rosales; Cannabaceae
Exons: 3
Source: RefSeq, a predicted model, not a curated record